This 129-nucleotide small RNA is filed under the name Marmota monax (woodchuck). Lineage: Eukaryota; Metazoa; Chordata; Mammalia; Rodentia; Sciuridae. The record is from RNAcentral.
GCCGGGCGUGGUGGUGCAUACCUGUAAUCCCAGCAGCUUAGGAAGCUGAGGUAGGAUGAUCCUGAGUUCAAAGUCAGCCUCAGCAAAAGGCGAGGUGCUAAUAAGCAAUUCAGUGAGACCCUGUCUCUA